This is a long non-coding RNA of Ctenopharyngodon idella (grass carp), 6444 nucleotides long. RefSeq lists it as uncharacterized. The transcript is spliced from 2 exons. The record is from RefSeq and is a predicted model, not a curated record. NCBI's taxonomy places the organism in Eukaryota, Metazoa, Chordata, Actinopteri, Cypriniformes, Xenocyprididae.
AUUAAUUUUUAAAACUAUGUUUAAUUAAUAUUUAUUGUUGAAUAUUAAAUUAAUAUGUAUUGUUAUAAUCAUCAAUUUAAUAUUUUUAUUAAUAUGUAUUAUAUUUUGAUAUUGAAAUACUGCAAAAAAAAAAAAAGUAAUUUACAUUAUACUUUGUUAUUGGUGGAUCUCCCUUCAGGAUGUCUUAACGAAGAAAACAAUGAGAAUUUUUACUUUUGGAUCUCAUAUUGUUGGAAAAUCAUACAGAACCCUUCUAAAAUUUACUAGCAUGUUCUCAUGCAGUGGCAUUCGUUUUUCCUUUUUAAAAUGCAGGCAGCCAAGAAUAAACUUCCGCAGCAGUGCUGUUAUUAGUUGUUAUUCUUUUAUGUGUGAACAUAAAAGGGUUGGGUGUCAAGGUGGGGUCCUGCGGUCACUGAUCUUUCAUCUUACGUGACCUUUUAUUCAGCAACUUCUCUAUUUUUUCAGAUUAAAUGUUCAUAAAUGUGUGAGCUCUUACAUGAAUUAACUUCAACACAAAAUAUUGUUCAGCUAAAACAUGCUAAAGAGGCGGCGCUUUCUGUCAGUAGUGCACAGGAAAUACUAAGAUACUUCUAAUGAGGCAGACUCAGCAGUAAUGUGUAAUGUGCAAAGCAUGCUGUGAAGUCAAGCAUGACACAUUCUCUGAGCUGUGAUCUGCAAGUAAGACAGGAAGAAGUGGGUGGAAAAGCACUGACACAAUACAACAGGCAGCUACAUUUGGCUUUGCUUUCUUACUGUAGCUUGUGCAUCAGGCAGCAUGUCUUUAAACUAGGUUUAAUUGAUUAACUCUUGGAAUGGGAAAAACUUUCAAACAAAUAAAUCUAAAGUCACCAAGCCCAUUGUUUUGAGUUUCAUGCUUCAUUAGCUAUUGAGUAUGAAGCUCUAAUAUCAUACACUGAAAAAAUGUACUUGAAACAAUUUUCACUCUGGAAUUUCUAGUAAAUUUCACAAAUAUACGGUGGCCAGAACACGCUGCAACUGAAGAAAACACAUGCAAAUAUAUAUAUAAAAAAAAAACACCACCAAAUUAAGAAAACAUCUCCAUUAGUUUGACAACACAUGGUGCGAAUACUCACAACGCAACCAAAUACAGAAACGUGCUGCAAAUAUUCACAACACCAUACAGAAACACCCUGCAAAUACUCACAAUGCAACCAAAUACAAAAACACACUGCAAAUACUCACAACACAACCAAAUACAGAAACACGCUGAAAAUACUCACAACACAACCAAAUACAGAAACAUGCUGCAAAUACCCACAACGCAACCAAAUACAGAAACACGAUGCAAAUACUCGUAAUGAAAUACAGAAAUGCACUGCAAAUACUCACAAUGCAACAAAAUACAGAAACGCAUUGCAAAUACUCGCAAUGAAAUACAGAAACGCACUGCAAAUACUCAAAACACAACCAAAUACAGAAACGCGCUUCAAAUAAAGUAAUUUACAGUAUAUUUUGUUAUUGGUGGAUCUCCCUUCAGGAUUUCUUAAUGAAGAAAACAACUAAAAUUUUUACUUUUGGAUCUCAUACUGGUACACAGUCAUACAGAACUCUGCUAACAUUUGCUAGCAUGUUCUCAUGCAGUGGCAUUUGGGUUUUCCUUUUUAAAAUGCAUGCAGCCAAGAAUAAACUUCCUCAGCAGUCCUGUUAUUAGUUGUUCUUCUUUUAUGUGUGAACAAAAAAGGCCUGGGUGUCAAGGUGGGGUCCCGUUCAUCUUACGUGACCUUUUACUCAGCAACUUCACUCUUUUUUCAGAUUAAAUGUUCAUAAAUGUGUGAGCUCUUACUUGAAUUAACUUCAACACAAAAUAUUGUUCACUCACAAUGCAACCAAAUACAGAAACACGCUGCAAAUACUCACAACGAAACCAAAUACAUAAAAGUGCUGCAAAUACUCACAACACAACUGUUACAAGCCCCAGCUCUUUCUCUUGUUUUCUUUUUUCCUUUCUGAGCAUAGUUGCCAAUUGGAUGGGGGCGGAGCCUGGUUAUCUCCAACACCUGUGGCCUCUGCCUAUUUAAGAGCUGCUGGUGGCACUCCACUUUGGCCUACCUCAAGAAACCUGUUGCUGGUGGUUUUGGAGUUUGUUUUUCUUUUCUUUUCUUUUCUUUUCUUUUCUUUUCUUUUCUUUUCUUUUCUUUUGUACAGGAUGGUGAGAUCUGUUUGUUUAGUUAUAUUAGAAUAGAGGGAAAGCAUAGGUAAGUAAGCUGACCCGGAAGAUUCUUUUGUGUUUGUUAUUUUUCUCGGGAGUGAGGAAAGUUUAACUCUGAGUUGUAGUUUAGAUUAGUUAGCUCACCAGUCCUGAUGUGAGUUUUUGUAUGUUUAUAUUUACAGCCAAUAAAUUUGCUCAUUUUUGCCCUGGCCAUUGCAAAUUUUGCUUAUAAAUUCUUUUGAACGGCUUUUUUAUGUUGGUCCCUAAUCUGGGUCAUAACAUAAAUUGGGGGCUCGUCCGGGAUAGACCUGAACUGCCUUUGUAAUGCGUUUUUUUUUUUUUUUUUUGGCAGUUUUAUUGGUGGGUUUUUCUGACCACUUUUUUGCCGUUCUCUUGUGUAAUCGCCUUUGAUUUGGCCAUGGGUUUUAGUUGGUUUAUGGGGUAGAGUUCCUGGAUCUGCCUAAUUGUAUCUUACAGUAGGCUUUGUUCGUACUUUUAGUACUUGUGUUUUGUCAGGGAACAUUUGUGAUGGAAAAUUUCAAUUUAGAGACGUUUAUUCAGACUCCUUCAUUAGAACCGCUUAAUAGCUGUAGAAAAGCUGAGCUUCAGCAAAUUGCAGAUUUUUUAUAAAAUGGAGUUGUUCGUGGUAGUCUUGAAACUGCCAUGAGACAACAAAUUUUGUCUGCAUUAGUGGAUCAAAAAGUGUUCUCUAGUGAUGCUGCUUUAAAAUUUUUGCAGGCACAUACUUUAGUCCAGUCUGGUCAACUGGAUUUGUCAAGAGAAUCAGCUGUUGAGAAAUCUCAGCAUGUAAAGGAACUUGAACUAGAGCUUAAACUUAGAACUUCAGGUUAAAAAAAAACAGAUAGCAAGUGACUUGGAACUAAAAAGGUUAGAACUGGAGUCAGAAAGAUUGGAAAUGGAGAAAACCUUUUGUUUAAAAGAGCUGGGACUUAAGGCAGCUAGACCAAGUCAAGCAGCCACAACAUCUGAAGUUAGUGCUGGCUUUGAUGUCAGUAGAAACAUUUGUUUGGUCCCUCCUUUUAGAGAAAAGGAUGUGGAUAAAUACUUCACUCAUUUUGAGCGUGUAGCCAAAUCUCUAGGUUGGCCUAAGUGUGUUUGGACGUUACUUUUACAAUGCGUCUUAUCCGGUAAGGCUCAAGAAGUUUACUCUUCUUUAUCCUUUGACCAAAGUUCAGAUUUUGAAGCUGUUAAAACAGCAAUUCUAAGGUCAUAUGAAUUUGUCCCUGAAGCUUACAGGCAAAAAUUUUGAAGUUUCCAGAAGACUGAGGAGCAAACCUAUGUAGAGUUUUCACGUGAACAAGAGCGCUUAUUUGAUCGUUGGUGUGUAUCUCAAGGUGUUGUUAACUUUGCUCAGCUUAGAGAUCUGAUUGUUCUGGAGGAAUUUAAAAACUGCCUCCCUGAUGCUGUGACAACCUUCUUAAAUGAACAGAAGGUGAUUUUGGUGGACGAAGCAUCUGUUUUAGCUGAUGAGUUCGUUUUGACUCAUAAACGUGUUUUUGUACCGAAGUCUAGUGUUCACCUUGAUAAGCUUGCUUGUAGUGAAUUUAACCCUUUUAGCCAAGUACAGAAAACAGUAGACAAGCCAAGUGAGUUUGUACAAAUACAGAAACGCGCUGCAUAUACAAAAAAAUGCGCUGCAAAUACUCACAAUGCAAUCAAAUACAGAAAUAUGCUGCAAAUACUCACAAUGCAACCAAAUACAGAAACGCGCUGCACAUACUCAAAACAGAACCAAAUACAGAAACACUGCAAAUACUCACAACGUAAUCAAAUACAGAAGCGCUGUAACUACUCAUAAUGCAAUCAAAUACAGAAAUGCGCUGCAAAUACUCACAACGCAACCAAAUACAGAAACACGUUGCAAAUACUCACAAUGCAACCAAAUACAGAAACGCGCUGCAAAUACUCAAAACAGAACCAAAUACAGAAACGCGCUGCAAAUACUCACAAUGCAAUCAAAUACAGAAAAGCGCUGCAAAUACUCACAAUGCAACCAAAUACAGAAACGCUGCAAAUACUCAUAACGCAAUUAAAUACAGUAAAGCGCUGCAAAUACACACAAAGCAACAAAAUACAGAAACACACUGCAAAUACUCACAACGCAACCAAAUAUAGAAACGAGCUGCAAAUACUCAAAACAGAACCAAAUACAGAAACAUGCUGCAAAUACUCACAACGCAACCAAAUACAGAAACAUGCUGCAAAUACUCACAAUGCAACCAAAUACAGAAACACGCUGCAAAUACUCAAAGCACAACCAAAUACAGAAACGUGCUGCAAAUACUCACAAUGCAACCAAAUACAGGAACGCGCUGCAAAUAGCAUGGAAAUGUUUCAAGGGGACCCCAACAAGUGACGAACCUAGCUGGGACAUCCUUAUUGUUCAAUGUCUACUCGUCAGAGGUGUUGUCAACAACCAGAAAGGUGAGGGUUUUUUUUAUUUUCUUUAAAUUUUUUAUUAAAUAGUAUUUCCUUGUAAACCUACUCCAUUUAUCCUUGUUUUUAUUUACAGUUUACAACCAUUUUUUUUUCUUUUUACAGUAAAACAAGCUUUUGACUAGAACCAGUAGGCAACCACUCAGAACACCUUAGCAACUGCAUAGCAACACCCUGGCACCCUGGCAUCCACUACAUGCAAACAUUGUAGAGGAAUCCGUCCAUAAGCCCCCCAAAAGCACAUUCUUGGACCCACCCAGGCCCUUCCAAGCGAGCUGAUAGCAAACACACACCACAGCCCUGCCCCGCGUCUAACCGCUCCACCAACCCUGGCAUCUGCCAUCCAUCCAACGGUUGGUGUCCAGCUACUAAAAAUAUCCUGAACGCUGGCUUAUUCAGCAGGGUUUUUCUGUUCCAAAUGAUUUCCUAAACUGAAAGAGAUAUUUGAAAUGCAUAAACUCCUGAUCAACAACAAACAUCCCGCCCUGACCUAACCAACCCAGCAUAUCCAAAUCCAUUCAAAAAUAAGGGCACAGCACUUCUGAAAACAGAAAUGUGUUUCUGUAUAAAUGAAAUGUUAAAUACAUGAUGUCUCGCCUCAGGAAACAGCGUUGCUGACGGUAAUUCAAGGAGCGCUAUUUUUUUAUGUCAUUUGUUUGAUUGCGGUCAAUCUUAUUUUAAUCUUCCACACCGUGCAUCGUAUCGUUUUCCAUAUUUAAUUUCCUUAUGCUGUGCUAUCUCCUCCCUGACUUCCUCUUCCAGAUCCCAUGUCAUAGAUAGAAGAAACUUAAGCCCGCGAAGGUGUGGGUCUCCAUGCGGGCCAAGCCCUGUUCACUGUGACAGCUGUGAGGAGAUAACAUGGAUGCGCACUGAUAGCAUGUCGGGGGGUGUGUAAGGACAUUCAGUGGUGCAGGAAUGCGCUGAGACCAGCCGACUGGUCAAGAAACUACUGUUUGCACGUCUGUGUCCACUUGGACUGAUUAUGGAUCGAUCAGGUGUCUUCAAAACGCACGUAAAUGCCACAGUUUUAACCAUCACAGACCUAAAAAGUAGUAUCAGUCGAUUAUUGCCAUUGAUAUUUAUAUCCACUCUAUAACCACUAUCUAUAUAUAGGUAUAUACAUACACACAAUAGAAUUUAGUGUUAAUGGGAUUAAAUAGAAGUAAAUAAAAUGAACAUUAUUUUACACAAUAUUUACACUGAAUUCUAUAUCGUAUUUUUAUACAUUUAUAUAAUUUCUUUUUAUAUUUUCGAAAAUAACCAAAUAUCAGACAAAAUAAAUUUAUCACAAAAUUUAUGAGCCACCGGCCACCCUGCUCUCUGUAUUUCAGCAUCAGCCAUUGAAAACCCCAUAUAAGUCGACCAGCACUUCCUCAAACACCUGGAGUUGUUUUCAUCUAGUUUCAGUCUGUAGUUUGUGGGCGCCAUGCGAGGGAUUCCCUGCUGCACACGUACGUGCUUCACUUUAAGUGCCCGUGUGGAUUAGUAGGGCAAGUCUAGACCGAGUAUACGCAGCCUCCAGCAGCAGACGGGCGCUCCUGUGAUCUCGCUGCCUGUCCCGUUCUCUUCAAAGGCCUGCACUCUCUCAAUGGUUUCUUCCGACAGGAUCACAAGAGCAGGAUUUUGUCUUUGACAAUAAUUGCAAGCAUAUCAAAAGCAGCAUUCAUCCACACAUAAGCAGUCUGUGAGCACUUUGAGCCCGCAUUUAUGUGCUAAAGAUUUUUUUUGGAGGGGUGUGUAGGGUGGAUGUAACACAGAAAAAUAUUAGAUGGAAAUGACAUUUUUAUUUUGCAACAGUUAGAUGCUGCUGUAAGUUU